AGAUUGAACGCUGGCGGCAUGCCUUACACAUGCAAGUCGAACGGCAGCACGGGAGCAAUCCUGGUGGCGAGUGGCGAACGGGUGAGUAAUACAUCGGAACGUGCCCAAUCGUGGGGGAUAACGCAGCGAAAGCUGUGCUAAUACCGCAUAAGAUCUACGGAUGAAAGCAGGGGAUCGCAAGACCUUGCGCGAAUGGAGCGGCCGAUGGCAGAUUAGGUAGUUGGUGAGGUAAAGGCUCACCAAGCCUUCGAUCUGUAGCUGGUCUGAGAGGACGACCAGCCACACUGGGACUGAGACACGGCCCAGACUCCUACGGGAGCGAGCAGGUGGGGAAUUUUGGACAAGUGGGACGAAAGCCUGGAUCCAGCCAUGCCGCGUGCAGGAUAGAAGUCCGUUCGGUUAGUAAACUGU
Molecule: ribosomal RNA, 411 nt
Filed under: uncultured soil bacterium
Lineage: Bacteria
Description: bacterial SSU rRNA
Rfam family: Bacterial small subunit ribosomal RNA
Source: RNAcentral